AGUACAUCAAGUUGGUGUCAAACACCCCAGGCCACACCCUGGCUCUGUCAGUGACUCUCCUAGGAGCUUGGGACAGUCCCCAAACCCAGUGAAGCCCUACAAACUGCAUCGUGGAAACUGGGAACUCUAAUGCCCAUUUCACCACAUGACUCAAGAUGAAAUAAGGGUUAAUUUGGUUUCAGUCCAGAUACAAGUUUGGAAGAAGAGAAAUGCUAAUUUUGUCUGAAUUGCUAAGAAGGAAGCAGUCUUCAAAGUCACAGACUGAUGAAGUUAUAAGUAACCAAUGAGCAGAAGGUGGGCCCUUAAGGGGCAAGCAGGCUGCACCUGAACGAGACACCCGACAAGACACACCUGAGCAGGCUCUGGGCUCCAUGGUUGGAGUGAUGGGGCAGCUGAUCCCCACCCAAGCCAUGGCACCUGGUGUCCUAGGUCGAUCCGGUGCAUUCAAGGACUUAAUUAUAAUUUUUAAUAUUUUUCUUAAAACAUAUUUAUUGUUCCUUUAUUGUAUAACUACAUAUUUAUGGCCCCAAAUUUGAAAAUAACACAAAAUAGAAGCAAAUUAAAAUCACUUAUAAUUUUGCCUCACAGAGUAUCUGUUGACAAUUUGGUUCAUUUCCUUUAAAAAAAUAUUAGGCGUAUAUGCUCCAUAUUGUUCCAUAGUCUGUUUUUGCGCUUAAGCUUUCAUUUCAGCAUUUCCCAUUGCCAUUUCUGAGUCCUUGAAAACAUGAUUUUCAUGAAUGCACUGUCCCACCUUAAGGAUGGAAUUGAAUGGUCUUGGGGCACUGAAAUUGCGACAAAGAUUUAGAGCUU
This 810-nucleotide long non-coding RNA is filed under the name Homo sapiens (human). RNAcentral's name for it is "HSALNT0048929". Lineage: Eukaryota; Metazoa; Chordata; Mammalia; Primates; Hominidae. The record is from RNAcentral.